UACGUAGGGGGCGAGCGUUGUCCGGAAUUACUGGGCGUAAAGGGCGCGUAGGCGGCCUGUUAAGUUAGAUGUGAAAUCCCCGGGCUCAACUUGGGUGUUGCAUUUAAAACUGGCAGGCUUGAGUGCAGGAGAGGAAAGUGGAAUUCCUAGUGUAGCGGUGAAAUGCGUAGAUAUUAGGAGGAACACCAGUGGCGAAGGCGACUUUCUGGACUGUAACUGACGCUGAGGCGCGAGAGCGUGGGGAGCAAACAGGAUUAGAUACC
RNAcentral lists this ribosomal RNA (263 nucleotides) under uncultured bacterium. RNAcentral's name for it is "partial 16S ribosomal RNA". It matches the Rfam family "Bacterial small subunit ribosomal RNA", at positions 524 to 786 of the family's 1533-position model. The record is from RNAcentral.